Molecule: long non-coding RNA, 1854 nt
Filed under: Agrilus planipennis (emerald ash borer)
Lineage: Eukaryota; Metazoa; Arthropoda; Insecta; Coleoptera; Buprestidae
Description: uncharacterized LOC108743263, transcript variant X2
Source: RNAcentral
UUGUACCACAAUUCUGACCGCUAAGGCAUGUCCAUUAGUAAACAAACGUCGAUGGUACAGACCUAUUAUCUAUGGUCUUGGGUCGUGUGAGUCUUUCACCUGAUAUAAAUAAUCCUCUAUUUUAAACUUUACCAAUAUAUUGUGCGUCGUUUGCGGGUUCUAAAUAUGCAAGUAUCAUAACUGUGUCCAUUGGUUCUGUUUAAAAAAAAUGGAAAAUUGUUUCGGGUGGAGGUGGAAAUGAAUUGUCAAUUUAUCAAAAACUACUGAAAAUAUCAUAAUUUUAUAUAUAAUUAAAUAAGAAAUAACUGCGUGUCAUUUGUGCUUGAAGACUGAUCUAAUAUGUGGUCAGAAUUGUGGUACAACAAAAGAAAGAGAUGGAACGAAGUUUCAUUCAUCCCUCUCACGAUAGUCCGUAAGCGUGUCAUGAAAGAGAUAGUACUAGUCCGAAACCAUAGCCAUCUCCCUCACUUUUCCAGCCAAGAAAUUAUUACAACGACAUACGGCUAAGUCACGUGUAUUAAUAUGUCUGUGCAAAUACUACUAUCAUACUACUAUUUUUCAUUGUUAUUACUAAUAUGCAUGGGCCAUUGUUGAAUCAUAGAUAAUAAUAUGAUCAUUGAAAAAUUUAGUAUAAUUUGUAAUCAUUACUAAUAAAUAAUAUAAAAAUAAACUCCCCUUACAAUAAUAGUUCAGUUUUCAAGCGGAAAUGACACGCAAUUAACUUGCGUUAAUUAAAUUAUCAUACCUUUGUAGUUGUUGAAUUAAUUGACAUUUAAUUUCCAUCUGCACCCGAAAUAAUUUUCCUUUUUUUUUUUUAAUAGAAUUAAUGGACACACAAUUAUUAUACUUACUUAUUUAGAACCCGCAAACGACGCACAAUUUAUUGGUGAAGUUUAAAUUAGUGGAUUAUUUUAUAUCGGGUGCCAGUUUUACACACUAUAAGUAUAUAUUUCUUUAAUCUAUGAUAACGAUUUAAAUCUUUCCUAUGACCCUCUCACGUCACCAUUUUAAGAUUCACAAUUUUACAGUAUGACUUUCUUUCCUCUAUUUUUAUACUAUUUCACGAUUUAUUUGUUUAAUACUAUACUUAAUCCGUUUUUUCUUUAUUUCUGCACGUUGAACAUUGAAGAUGGAUGAGAGAAGAAAUUGGAGCUCAUUUUGUUGCUACUGGAUCGUGUGGUAAAUUAAGGAACAUUAUAAAAACUCCAAAUGUCGUUAAGUUACACAUCAUUGGUUGUACCAGCCGCUCAUUUGCUCCCAUAGGGUGUACCUAUAAUCUUAAAGAAAGGAAGAGUGCCUUUUUUUUGUCAUUGGGAACGGAGAUGGUGUGUUGUUACUAAACAAGGAUUUAUGACAACUGAUUGUCCAUGAGAAGGAAUUACAGUUAAUUGUAAUGCUACUGAAGCAACCGAUGAUUUUGUCGCAAGGAGGAGACAACUGGAAGUUAGUUUGUAGGCUUUAGAACGCUACUUACUAUAGUAAAUUAAGUUUAAAUUGACGUUAUAUCUAUCAUUUGUCCGAGAAAUGAGAGAAAAUUGUCUACAUAGGUGUUACUGUUUCUGGAUUCAACAUUGUGCAGUUAUUUUUUAACUGAUAUCGGAGCAAUUGUAGAUUUAUUUUUAUUCCUUCUGGAUCGGGUUUGAUUUUCACAACGGCAAACUUUGGAAUGUUUAAGUCUACAGUUAAUUAAGAUCAAUAGUGGAGAAGACAAAGAAUAUGCCAUAGUUAAAAUAAUUCUUUAUCUUGCGCGCACUGUCUAAUAGAAUUAAUCUUUAAGUUCAUUUUGUUAAAAUUAACAUUUUAUUUAGUAUUUUAGGUGCCUGAAUUUUAUUUGAAUUAUUUUUUGAUUGUAGC